UCACUUUGCAAUGGGUUUUCCAAAGUGCAAUGGGAUGGGAGCUGGAUGAGGCUCCGGCCCCAUGUGCCUUCUGCUGGGACGAAGAGCUUUUCCCCUUCACUUCAGGGGAGGUUCAGGUUGGAUGGUAGGAAAUGGAAGGAGUGGUGAGAUGUUGGCACAGGUUGGUCAGGGAGCAGGGCAGUCAGCAGCCCAGGGGGUGUGGAGACGUGGCACUGAGGGAUGUGGUCAGUGGGAAUGGUGGGGAUGGGUUGGGGUUGGACUAGGGUGGUCUUGGAGGUCUUUCCCAACCUUAAUGGUUCUAUGACUGUCAUCUGUAAUGACAAGGGUUGAUGUGAUAGAGUCCUCCUAGAACAACAGAACAAAAUCACCACUGUUCCAUAGUAUGUUGCACUCGUGCCAACAUCCAUUUCUGUAGCGUCUCUGCAGGCUGCUCCCCCUCCUCUGUGUGCACAAAUCUGCCUUUUAUGGUUUGCAAAUGCAAAAAUCCUGCCCCAUCCACACUCACUCGUUUGCUGUGGUUACGGCCUUUCACAGCUACCUCUUAGUUAAUGGGGGAAAGGGGCAAGGAGCUCCCAUACAAAGCACUGUGGGGCUACAGGGACACCCACAAUAACCCAAAGGCUCAGUUUGGGAAGGCAUUACAGACCGUACAAGGGUGAGCACGGUACGUCAGGCACCUGAGAUGUUUCCCUAUGAGUGCAGCUCUUUGAGUCUCCAAGCAAACCCUACACACGGCAGUGCGCAGGGCUCAUCCAGACACCGUGCUGGUUCCCAUGUAGGGAUGGGAAAUGCCUCAGCUCCUUAUGGUGCUUGGAUCGCUCUCACAAUGUUCUAAUGCAAUACGGGAGCCUGUCUGUCACCAUUGCCUAAAAAUUGCUAUGGCUUUACAAGCAUAAACGUGGUGCUCCAUAGAGCACAGCCAGCAUUGGUGCAGCUGGAAGUUAGCUACAAAACAUCCAUUUACAGACCCCAAACUGACAGAGAGAAGAGUCCUGUUGGGACUGUUGAGUCCCAGCCUGAGCUACUGAUUGAGCACCUGGGGAAAGGACCCGGUCAGCCCUGGGAGCACAGGUGAAGGCAAUUCAGCUGUGAGUGGAAGGGGUGGAGCCUCCAUCUCUCUUAGACCCCAUUUAAGGGCUGAUUGUGAGUGAGGAAGGGUCUCUACUUCAUGGAGAUCUCUCCUUGGUGAAGCUUUCCCCUGUGAACAAGGACUCUUCUGAUACGGUAUGACAGAUGCACGUGUAACUUGAGGAGUUCAGUGAUUUCAUCCAGCUGUGCUUCCUCCCAGGUUAAGAGGGAGAAAUGAGAGUGAAGGCUGUGAGUAUCCUGCAGUGGAUCUCCAUCUCAGAAAUGCUAAACUGCAGCGUGGAGAGCACUGCUGCAGAGCUCACUCUGUGCUCAUGUGUUGUGGCUCUGGCUGACAGCAGAAGUUUGCCGUGUGGAAGCUGCUACAAAGAGGAGCUCACUGCAGGCUUCACCAUGGAGUUUACAGGACUGUGGCAAGCUCUGAUUUAUUGCUUCCUGCUUUUCCUAGAGGCCGUAUCUGUAAGGAUGCCUAAUCUAAAAGCUUUCCGGCAACAUCUGGUCACACUCAGGCUCAACUUUUCAGCCAUGUUUCCCAUGGAGGAGGCUGCCCCUCCUGCCAGCCCUAAUGGUUGGUGCUGGUGGACACAUCCCAUCACUGAGAUGGGCUGGGAACCUCGGAUCAAAAGGACCUUGUGGAGUGGGAGCAUCUGCAGGCUCUGAGGGCUGGUGGCUGUGGGAAGCCAGAUUUCCUUUCCUAGGCAGCCAAGUGCCUUGGAUGAUUUGUUUCCGUGCUUCAGUCUGGUUGUGAAUGGAGGCAGGAUCACUCUAAAUGUUCAUCUAUACCACUCCUACCAACAGACAGACUUGUCUUCACACUUUAUAUUCAGUAUUCUCAUGUUUGUGAAUGGUUU
Molecule: non-coding RNA, 1937 nt
Organism: Coturnix japonica (Japanese quail)
Lineage: Eukaryota; Metazoa; Chordata; Aves; Galliformes; Phasianidae
Source: RefSeq, a predicted model, not a curated record